This is a non-coding RNA of Lactuca sativa (garden lettuce), 4328 nucleotides long. The record is from RefSeq and is a predicted model, not a curated record. NCBI's taxonomy places the organism in Eukaryota, Viridiplantae, Streptophyta, Magnoliopsida, Asterales, Asteraceae.
UCUAUAUAUUUGAAAAAGUGGUUUCCACGUGCUACAUCUUGAUCGUUUGACGUUGGCAUCGUCAUCCCAUCGGUUCAUCGUUUUCUGCCAUCUCUCCAUUCACCGCUUCGUCUGCUUUUUCACCAUCUGAUUGAUAUCUUCUGCUUCAUUCCUUCAUACGUGUUCUUCCAAACCAACCCACAAAUGUUUAUGUGGGUUUCCCCAUCUGCUUAAACGAACCACAGAAAAACGCAGAUGCUCACCGCACCACAGGUCGAGACGUACAUCGAUUUUUUGAGGGAUGGAAGAAGCAAGGGUCGGCACACACACAUAUAAACGGUCUCUCUUCAGCUUCUACUAUGUCACUGCUUCUUCAACACUCGAUCAAAGAAAGGUCCAUCUAAUUCACUGUCAUCGUCAAGUUCAUCAGGCGGUAUUCCUUCGAUUCUCUGUUUCUAUUUCAAUAUCACAUAAAAAAUUUGUGGUUUACAACGAUUGGAGUUAGUUUUCAGACGCAUGUUGAUGUUUUUUUCGCUCUUUCUCUUUCUGCUCCUCUGAUAAAAGCUCUUUCUUCCUCCUUUUCCACUGCCUCAAAUGCUCCACCUUCUCUCGAGCCCUAGAUGUCACCGCCAACGGAACGCCGUCAUGUACACAUAUGGUGCAACCUACGUCGCCGUCACCAACGCCUGAUUACAACAACCCUAACGCCAUCAACAGCGGAGGCGGAGAUUCUGGUGAAAACAAUUACGCGUUAUGACAGGGAUCAACGUCAAUGGAAACGCUGUAGUGAAGCGGAAGAGAGGAAGGCCGAGAAAGUACGCGUCUGAUGUCUCUACGGCUCCGACGGCGGCACUGUAUGGUCCAGAGGCUGCACAAUCCGAAUCACCUGAGUUUGGAAAUUGGAUGUUCCUGCUUGAGUAGUUGAGUUUCCGUUUUCUCCUUCCUUUACAACUCACGGUCUGGUCGUCUUUCCCGAUGGAGGAUUUAAAGGUACUCAAGAAGAACUCCUUACGAAUGUCAAUUUUGUCUGUAUCGUCGUUUCUCCAUCUGGUAUGUAAGACUGCAACGCCCUGUGCCCACCAACUGUUUGAUAAAAUUCCUGUUAUUGUUCAUCUUCCCUUUUCAUUUUUUCUUAGUUUUAUAAUAAUGAGUAUUGAAUCAAAACUUUUUUAGAUGAUUCAAUUUCAUCAUAUUCCAACUGUUAAUGCAUAUUUGUGAUGGAUUAGUUCAUCACCAUUCAUGUAGCUGUGAUAUGACAUCAUAAUUAAGCACCUCCAAAUCCAUACUUCUUACCAAAGAUGAUGAGCUGGAGUUUGUCAUAACCAGAAAUCACACCAGCACUAGCAAUGUCACGAAGAAGUACUUCACUUCCUCACCUGAUGUCAUCAUCAUUCUUCUACGAAUAGUGUCAAUUAGGUAAGAUGCAAGUCCUGCUCCAUUUGUGAUCACCCAACCAAGUGCAAAGCUAGCGAAGAAACUACCCUGAAAAAAUGUGUCUCAAUCGGUCCACAUUAGUAUUUAAGGGUAAAUUCAAAAGACUAUAACGUAAAUUUCCCAAAUAUUAUCGAUUUAGCUACUAAAUUAUUCUAUAAUAUUCAUAAAAAUAUAAUAGUUCUGUCCAUAAAUCUAUCAUAAAAUGAUAAGAGCAAAAGGAAGAAAAAAAUAAUGUAGUUUCACCAUCACAUCAUUUUAGCAACAUAACUAUUUUAUAUAAAAGAUUAAACUCUUAUUACAUUUUUUACCAUUAGAAAAAACCUAUUUUCUCACUUACCCAAAGUUUAACCUCAAUGAAAACAAACAGAGAAAAACACAUUGUAUUUUCACCGUUUUAAGAUGUUGUCCAUUUAGUGCCAUGCAGAGACAAUUUGAACAAUUCUGCCAACUAAGCACCAUGUUGGAUGCCAUGUCAUACUUUUGAAUCUUCUCCAAUAGUAUAAUUGAAAAUCACAUUAGAUGUUUAUUUUGGUAUUAUAUACAAUCAAAUGAUUGGGGAUUUAACGAAUUGUGAACAGUGUUUCUUUCCUAGAUAUAGCAUAUAUCUUAAGUAAGUUCUCUUUCCCAUUUCAUUAUAAAAUCUUUAUUAUUGCCAUUUUGACGUUUUUUUUCGUAGCUUGAUGUUAUAUGUGUAACAGAAGGAACUGAAGCAUGGGUUGAGAAGCUCAAGUAAGUUUGAAUUUUACUAUUCUCAUGGUGUUUAUACUUUAUCUAAUCUUGAAUUACUAUUUUACCCUUGUGUUUUCUUUUAAUGCAAAGGUGGGGGCCUUGUGAAAUUGUUGAAUUACUAUUUUACCCAAUGUCGAAACUAGAUAAUUUUGCCAAUUUGCUUUAAUUGCAGGGAUUCGAAAUGAAAAUUCUACAUUCUUCACAGAAUAUGAUCCCAUUUGAAAAGUGGGUGGAAAUUGUCAAAUUGUUGAGAGAUAAGGGAUUCGAAACGAACAUUUUCCUUUCUUCUCCAAUGUGAUACCAGAUGCGAACGGAACGCAUCAUGAGUCAAAUUCUCAAUUCACAAAAUUUAUCACAAAUCAAAAUCACAAGGCAAAAGUCGAACCAUUCCAAACACUUAACUCGAAAUCAAACCGGCUAAAAUCAAUUUCGACUCCAAGCAUAAGUGUUCGAUGCGAACGAUCCCAAGAAACCCGUUCAUCAUCAAGACCCCAUCAGUCAAAUUCCAUUCGACUAUUAACCUCAAAUUGUUCGACUUCUAAAUCCAUUUACUAGUUGAUACUUGACUCAAACAAUAAUAUCGAUUUCGACCUCCAAACAUAAACAUUCGACUUGACACAACAUAACGUCAAUUUCGAUUUGAACUCAAAUGAUUAAAUCGACCCUUAUGCGAACAGAAAUACAACAGUCGAACACAAUUUUGACUCCAAAUAAGGUCGUUCGACACUUCAUAGACUAGGACACAAAAACACCUAUCAAUAAUCGAAGUCGAUUUCGACUCCAAAACACUUGCCAUCAAAUCGAAUCAAAUUCGUGUUUCAGAUGCGAACAAACUCUAGUAAAGGCUUUCGACUCCAAGAACACUAACCCCAAGCAAUUUCGACUAUGCGACCACUAACUCUAAUCAAAGUUAAUUUUGAUUUCUGUCAAUUCCGUUUGACCCAAGGAGUUGAACGUUCCUGAUGCGAAUUAAACAACCUCUGCAACAGUUGAAUACGACCUCGACUCCAAAUCAAUGAUUUUCAAUUUCAAUUUCUAUUAUGACCAUCCAUCUAAAAUUCGUUUCCAGUACGUGAAUGAGGAACGAUAUCAGUAGAGUUCGUUGUCGACUUUUGUCACAACAACAUGAUAUUUUCUUUCCAGUCAAUAAAAGUCAAACCCGAUAAAUAAAAUUUGAACUUUUAUUAAAAUUCAUGACGGUUAGAAAAUAGGGUUUUUUCCAAAAUAGACCUUAUAUUUGCAGUUUUUUCUAUUUAAACAAAAAACUUUAUUUAUUUCCUAAAAAGAAGGAUGUUCCUUGUUAUUUAUUAUGCAUAACCGGUUGACUAGUCAAUACGUACCCUUUCUUUUCUUGCAUACCCUUUCUUUUCUACACUCGCUAGGUUUCAUUCGUUCGCUUCAAGAUACACAAGUCGAUAUGAAAAUCUAUGGCUUUUUCUGAAAUCGCACAACAAGAAAGCCAUAACAUCCAAUUCUUAGUUCCAUAAAUCGCACAAGAAGGCUAUGGCAUCCAGGAAUCAAUAAAUCCUCGAAAAUGUCAUCUUCUUCAAAUAUCAAGAGCAUCAGAAGUAGAAGGAUAGUAAGGAAUGGUGAAGUUGAAUUGUGCAAGUGUAAUGAAGAAGCUCUUAUGUUUACAUCAUGGAGUCCUCGAAAAUGUCAUCUUCUUCAAAUAUCAAGAGCAUCAGAAGUAGAAGGAUAGUAAGGAAUGGUGAAGUUGAAUUGUGCAAGUGUAAUGAAGAAGUUCUUAUGUUUACAUCAUGGACUGCAAAGAAUCCUGGUAGAAGAUUUUAUGGAUGUCCAAAUUACAAGGAUGAAAGUAUGAAUUGCAAGUAUUUCAUGUGGAUUGAUGAUGAACUUACAAUCCAAAGGUACAAGGAUCUACUCUUCAAUAUGCACCAUGAUAUGAAGGGUAUGGAAGAUGAGAUCAAAGAAUUAAAGUUAAAGUUGAAGAAAAAAAGCGUGUUUGGAAUGUGAAGAACGAAGAGUAAAGUAUGUUAGGAUUGUGGUAUUCUUGGUAGUUGUCUUGACAUUUGUCAUUUUAAGGUUGUGUUACUUUUGAUGAAUUAAGGUUGUCUUGACAUUGGUCAUCUUAAGGCUGGUUAUGUUUUGUAUGACAAAAUAGUUGGUUAUGUUUUGUAUGAGAAUAUAAGUACUUUUCUAUAUAUGUUAUUUUCAGUUUUCAAUUU